This 513-nucleotide ribosomal RNA is filed under the name uncultured bacterium. Its description in RNAcentral is "partial 16S ribosomal RNA". It matches the Rfam family "Bacterial small subunit ribosomal RNA", at positions 28 to 523 of the family's 1533-position model. The record is from RNAcentral.
GACGAACGCUGGCGGCAUGCCUAAUACAUGCAAGUCGAGCGAACAGAUGAAGUGCUUGCACUUUUGACGUUAGCGGCGAACGGGUGAGUAACACGUAAGGAAUCUACCUAUAAGCGGGGGAUAACAUUCGGAAACGGGUGCUAAUACCGCAUAAUAUCUUCUUCCGCAUGGAAGAAGAUUGAAAGACGGCUCUGCUGUCACUUAUAGAUGACCUUGCGGUGCAUUAGUUAGUUGGUGGGGUAACGGCCUACCAAGACGAUGAUGCAUAGCCGACCUGAGAGGGUGAUCGGCCACAUUGGGACUGUGACACGGCCCAAACUCCUACGGGAGGCAGCAGUAGGGAAUCUUCCGCAAUGGGCGAAAGCCUGACGGAGCGAUGCCGCGUGAGUGAAGAAGGCCUUCGGGUCGUAAAACUCUGUUAUAAGAGAAGAACAAAUUGUAGAGUAACUGCUACAGUCUUGACGGUAUCUUAUCAGAAAGCCACGGCUAACUACGUGCCAGCAGCCGCCGUAA